This 266-nucleotide long non-coding RNA is filed under the name Paramuricea clavata. Lineage: Eukaryota; Metazoa; Cnidaria; Anthozoa; Malacalcyonacea; Plexauridae. The record is from RNAcentral.
UACACACGUAAAAACGCACCAGUUGUAACAAACCUGCAGCAGACUUGUAGCAAUGCUGUUCCAACAACUUGUCAACAGGAUGUGUUCGCACUGCUUGUUCCCAGCUUGUUGACAAGUUGUCAACGGCUUGUUGACAACUUGCUGCAAGGUUGCUGAGCUCAACAGACUUGUUACAAGUUGAUCCAACAAGUUGUUAUCGUCCUGCAAUUCAACAAUUUAUCAACAAGUUGUGAGUGACAACCUUGUAGCAACUUGAUAAAAUAACA